RNAcentral lists this microRNA precursor (96 nucleotides) under Nicotiana attenuata. RNAcentral's name for it is "MIR6152 microRNA precursor family". It matches the Rfam family "MIR6152 microRNA precursor family". The record is from Rfam by way of RNAcentral. Lineage: Eukaryota; Viridiplantae; Streptophyta; Magnoliopsida; Solanales; Solanaceae.
UGGACAGAUUAUUGUAUUCGAUUGUAUUCACGGCUUGAAACAGGGGAUUACACUGUUUUUAAACGGAAAGUGAAUCAAUUAACAUAAUAGACUCCU